RNAcentral lists this long non-coding RNA (2020 nucleotides) under Homo sapiens (human). RNAcentral's name for it is "CKMT2 antisense RNA 1". The record is from RNAcentral. Lineage: Eukaryota; Metazoa; Chordata; Mammalia; Primates; Hominidae.
GCGCGCUUAGUGAUGGGAUGGCCCUGUGCAGGACGCCGACACGAAAAGAUGAAGAGUUCAAUCCGUGCUGUCUGAACUCACAGUGUAGCAGGCGAGAUAGACGGGAAGAUCGGUAGGGUGGGAGAUGCCGGAAAGGCUUCCCGUGAGACUGGAUAAGAAAUCAAAAAUCUGGUGAAAUUGCCGGCAAGAGGGAGUUAAGGACAUUCCAGGCAGAGGCAAGUCCAGAUUCCUAAGAUGAGGACACAGCAUCCUGGGCCACUGUCACUAAUACAAAUUUGCCUCUGGAGGGACUCUACGGAAGAUAAUUCCCCUGAAAUUUGGAGAGUUGAAUUAAGCUAGGACUGAUUCUGGCUGGAAUUUGUGGUGGCUACGUACCCUAGAGGGCCUCAAGGAAACCCACGGUUCAAGACAGCCCUGACAGAUUCUGGAGUCUAGAACAGAAAUGGAUUUGAACAUGGGCAAGGCCAACCACCCAGUUCACGGCCUGUGUACAGCAAAGAUUACGUUACAGCCUGAGAGCUAAGCCUGGAAGCUCUUUCAUCCAUCCGUUUGUCCAUCUAUCCAUCCAUCUGCUCAUCCAUCCCUCCAUCUGCUCAACAAACGUUAGAGAAUCAAUCCUUGUGUCAGAUACUGGGGCUGCCCUCAAGGAGCUUUUAUAGAGUUCAGGGUACAGCCAGGUGGGGGAGACAGAUCACUAUAAAAACCUACCACUAUAAUCCAAAGGACAAGAGCAAAAAUAGUAAAGAGGAGAGAAGACCCAAAUUUGCCUGGUGGGUCAGAGAGGGCUUUCUAGAAGAGGUAAAAAAUCUUCGGGGCUAUCACUUCACCUUGCCUGGUGGAUAAAGGGAGGACUUUCCAGAUACAGUGGACAGAAUGUGCAGAGGCAGGAGCCAUGAGUGGCAGAGGCAGGGGAGGGACUGCAGAGACAGGUUGGAGCCAAAGCACGUGGCACUGGAGCCAUAGCCAAAGGAACAAACUGUGAGACCUGGGACUUGAAUUUGGAGGUGGUGAAAAGUGACAAGGUCUUCACAGAAGAGUGAUUUUUUCAACUUAGGGAAGGCUGACCCCAGACCAAUGCUGCCAAAGUGUGGUCUGUGGGCUGUUAGCAGUUCGUGACGAUGUAAGUACAGGAAUUGAGAUUAAGCAUUUAGAACACCUACAGCACUUUGAUAGUCAUUUUACUUUUUAAAUUUUGAGCUGGCAUUUUAUAUGCCUGGUUUUUUUUUGUUUUUGUUUUUUUAUUUUUUUUGAGACAGUCUCGCUCUGUCGCCCAGGCUGGAGUGCAGUGGCGCGAUCUCUGCUCACUGCAAGCUCCGCCUCCCGGGUUCACGCCAUUCUCCUGCCUCAUCCUCCCAAGUAGCUGGGACUGCAGGCGCCUGCCGCCUCGCCCAGCUAAUUUUUUGUAUUUUUAAUAGAGACGGGGUUUCACCAUGUUAGCCAGGAUGGUCUCAAUCUCCUGAUCUCGUGAUCUGCCCGCCUUGGCCUCCCAAAAUGCUGGGAUUACAGGUGUGAGCCACCACGCCCAGCCUUAUUCUCUUUUUCUAAUAGUUGCACUUUAUCAUAUUUUACAAAUGUGUGAGUCUGCUAUGGAUUAGAAAUUAAUAAGAGAUUUUGCCACAGAUAGUUUGAGAAGCCCAGCACUGCCACUCAACAAAUGCUGGUGCAUUCAGAUGGUGAAAUAUUCUGCAGCUAUUAAAGGAGUUAAAACUGCCUCCACUUACCUGGAGGCCCAUCUGUGACACCUUUUUAGGUUAAAAGGAAAAGAAAAACUUGCUUAGGACUGAAUAUGAGCGGUUGCAAUUUGUAACAAUGAUGUAUAUAUACAUAUACAUUUUCAUGUAUUUGUAUGAACAUAAAAGUAUUGAAGGAUAUUCAUCAAACUGCUAAAAGGGUUGCUUCAGAGUAACGGACUCGGAGAAGGCAGAUUAAUUUUCUCUUAAUGGAACUCUGUAUUGUAUCACUUGUAAAAAUAAGCAUGUGUUAUCUUUAUGAUAAAAAAGUAAAAACCUAAAAAAGAAAA